This 2492-nucleotide ribosomal RNA is filed under the name Triticum aestivum (bread wheat). Its description in RNAcentral is "partial small subunit ribosomal RNA". Lineage: Eukaryota; Viridiplantae; Streptophyta; Magnoliopsida; Poales; Poaceae. The record is from RNAcentral.
GAUAAUUCUGAAGCCAAACAGCUCCGCCUCCGCCAUGGCCAUGGCCACCUUCGCUGCCACUCCCGCGCUCCUCUCUCCCUCACCCCCCUACACCCCGGCCCCUCCACUCCGCGGGCGCCCGCCCCGCCCGCCUCUCCGUCUCGGCCUCCGGCUCCCGCGCCGCCGCCCCGUCACCACCACCACUCCGGCCGCGGCCCACGCUGCGAGCUCCCUCUCCUCCGCCCGCGGCGACCCGCGCGAGGCGGAGGCAGCGGUGGCUGAGCUGCUGCGGGACCACGGCGCGUCGCCGGAGGACGCGGCCGCCAUCGCGGCCCGCGCGCCGGGGUACGCCGCCAUGCUGGCCGACGGCGUCAGGGAGCUCGACGAGCUCGGGCUCUGGGCGUCCUGGAGCGCCGGGGCGGGCGCGCGCGCCGGCGCCGAGAUGGGCGCGCUCGGGUUCGGCAGGAAGGUGUACUUCAUGGGGCGGAGCCGGCGCGACGGCGCCGUCGUUCCCCUCGUCGAGAGCCUCGGCGUGCGCCUCUCCUCCGCGAAGCUCAUCGCGCCCUACGUCGCCGCCGAGGGCCUCCCCGUGCUCAUCCGCAGGGUUAAGUUCUUGAAGGAAAUGCUGUUUUCAAGCAGUGGCUAUGAAACUCUAAUCGGACGGAAUGCUAAGCGCAUGAUGGCACACUUGUCAAUACCCGCAGAUGAGGCACUCCAGAGUACGCUGUCAUUUUUCGAAAAAAUGGAGGCCAGACAUGGUGGUCUGAGCAUGUUGGCACAUGGGGAUGUGUCAUUUCCCUAUCUCAUCGAAUCAUUUCCAGUGCUUCUUCUCUGCUCAGAGGACAAACAUCUUAAGGCAUUAAUUGAUUUCCUUGAACACAUUGGAGUUCCCAAGCCGAGGAUUCCAUCAGUUCUGCUGGCAUUUCCUCCUAUUAUCCUUUCUGAUGUCGAAAAGGAUAUCAAGCCAAGGAUUCAUGCAUGGGAGAAGGCUGGCAUAGAACAGGAAUAUAUUGGUCGGAUGUUGUUGAAGUAUCCAUGGAUUCUUUCUGCAAGUGUGAUAGAAAACUACAAGCAGGCCCUUUUGUUCUUCAACAGAAGAAAGAUUUCCAGUACAUUUCUUGGCAUUGCUGUCAAAAGUUGGCCUCACAUUCUGGGUUGUUCAACAACAAGAAUGAACUCAAUUCUAGUGCUGUUUGAUGAUCUGGGCAUCAGUAAGAAAAUGUUGGUUCCUGUUCUUACAUCAAGUCCACAGUUGCUGCUGAGAAAACCUAAUGAGUUUUUGCAGGUUGUUUCCUUUUUUAAAGAUAUGGGUUUUGAUAAGAUAACAGUGGCAAAGAUUGUCUGUCGUUCUCCAGAAAUUUUUGCUUCAGAUGUGGAGAAUACCCUCAAAAAGAAAAUCAACUUUCUUAUUGACUUUGGUAUUUCUGAGCGUCACCUUCCUCGUAUCAUUAAGAAGUACCCAGAGCUUUUGUUGUUGGACAUAAAUCGCACACUGCUACCAAGAAUGAAUUACUUCCUGGGGAUGGGCUUGUCUAAGAAAGAUGUCUGCUCAAUGAUCUCUAGAUUCUCCCCACUUCUGGGGUACAGUAUUGAGCAUGUUCUGAAACCAAAGAUUGAUUUUCUAUUGCAAACCAUGAAGAAACCACUUAAAGCGGUUGUGGAAUAUCCAAGGUACUUCAGCUAUUCUCUUGAGGGCAGGAUAAAGCCACGGUUUUGGAUAAUAAAGAGUAGAAACAUAGACUGCAGUCUGACAGACAUGCUUGCAAAAAACAAUGAACUUUUUGCUGAAGAGUACCUGGGAAUAGAAACAUGACCUGUGGCUCCUCUACAGUCAAGCAAAAGUGGUUAAUUUCUAGACUUGAAACAAGAGCGGACUAUGUUACUGUGUCUGAUUAUACAGCUUUAUGAUUCCAUCUGGAUCCGGGAGGCUGUUUUACAGAUGGGAAGCCACUUCUCGAGUCUUCAACAUUCAUAAGACCUUGUCCAUUGGGAUAUCCCCUUGAGACCAGAUUGAGGAGGAACUGAAGGCCAGCCCUUGAGACCAUUGACGAUAGAGACCAACUGCCAAAAUAUUACCUCUGAGAGCUGCACUUGCAUGUAUCAGCAAGGGCGCCACGUCAACAGCAAAGCCCAACUCUUGUGCUUGAAACUGCCUGCUGCUAUAUGUUUCGGCACGGUGCCGUGAAGCGUCCUUCCAGAGAAGAAGGUUCUUACACAUUGGUGCUUCGCCAACUGACAGGAGCAGGAACUCUGCUCUGUUGGUGCAGUAGAUUGGUAUGCGCUUCUCGCUGAGGCAUAGGAAGCAGGAAGAGGCGAAGGUUGCAAGGUCGGUUUCGCCGCGGAUGCCUUUUUUUUUUGUAACAGUUUUACCCUUUUGUACUCACUGUAUACAUGGACGUGCGCUGUAAUUGGAUUUGCAAUGGUAAAGAGUUGUAGAUUUCACUGGAUCUGCGUGCUGUGUAAUGUAGCUUGUGCAUCACCAAACUUUCGUCUGAGUAUAUAAUCCCUCCAUC